Molecule: ribosomal RNA, 464 nt
Filed under: uncultured bacterium
Lineage: Bacteria
Description: partial 16S ribosomal RNA
Rfam family: Bacterial small subunit ribosomal RNA
Source: RNAcentral
GACGAACGCUGGCGGCGUGCUUAACACAUGCAAGUCGAACGGUAAGGCCCUUUCGGGGGUACACGAGUGGCGAACGGGUGAGUAACACGUGGGUGAUCUUCCCUGCACUUUGGGAUAAGCCUGGGAAACUGGGUCUAAUACCGGAUAGGACUACGCGAUGCAUGUCGUGUGGUGGAAAGCUUUUGCGGUGUGGGAUGGGCCCGCGGCCUAUCAGCUUGUUGGUGGGGUGAUGGCCUACCAAGGCGACGACGGGUAGCCGGCCUGAGAGGGUGUCCGGCCACACUGGGACUGAGAUACGGCCCAGACUCCUACGGGAGGCAGCAGUGGGGAAUAUUGCACAAUGGGCGCAAGCCUGAUGCAGCGACGCCGCGUGGGGGAUGACGGCCUUCGGGUUGUAAACCCCUUUCAGCACAGACGAAGCGUAAGUGACGGUAGGUGCAGAAGAAGCACCGGCCAACUACGUG